GACGAACGCUGGCGGCGUGCUUAACACAUGCAAGUCGAACGGAAAGGCCCUGCUUUUGUGGGGUGCUCGAGUGGCGAACGGGUGAGUAACACGUGAGUAACCUGCCCUUGACUUUGGGAUAACUUCAGGAAACUGGGGCUAAUACCGGAUAGGAGCUCCUGCUGCAUGGUGGGGGUUGGAAAGUUUCGGCGGUUGGGGAUGGACUCGCGGCUUAUCAGCUUGUUGGUGGGGUAGUGGCUUACCAAGGCUUUGACGGGUAGCCGGCCUGAGAGGGUGACCGGCGGCAUGGGGGGGGAGGAGCGGCCAAGACGCGACGGGGGGGGAGCGGGGGGGAUUAGGGACGAUGGGGGGGGGGCGGGAUGCGGCAACGCGGUGUGCGGAAUGGGGGGCGUGGGGUUGAAAACCGCUUGCGCCUGUGAAGAAGGGGGAGGGAGGGUAAUGGAUAAGAAAGCACGGGCUAACUACGUG
RNAcentral lists this ribosomal RNA (468 nucleotides) under uncultured bacterium. Its description in RNAcentral is "partial 16S ribosomal RNA". It matches the Rfam family "Bacterial small subunit ribosomal RNA", at positions 28 to 507 of the family's 1533-position model. The record is from RNAcentral.